GUAGUGGUGGUUCAAGGGUAGAAUUCUCACCUUCCACAUGAAUGACCUAGGUUCGAUUCCUGGCCAAUGCA
Molecule: transfer RNA, 71 nt
Filed under: Loxodonta africana (African savanna elephant)
Lineage: Eukaryota; Metazoa; Chordata; Mammalia; Proboscidea; Elephantidae
Rfam family: tRNA
About the family: Transfer RNA (tRNA) molecules are approximately 80 nucleotides in length.
Source: Rfam by way of RNAcentral